Uranotaenia lowii is the source of this 258-nucleotide long non-coding RNA. RefSeq lists it as uncharacterized. The transcript has 3 exons. NCBI's taxonomy places the organism in Eukaryota, Metazoa, Arthropoda, Insecta, Diptera, Culicidae. The record is from RefSeq and is a predicted model, not a curated record.
GCUCAGAAGCAUUCAACAUCUAAAGACGAGCAGUAGAUCACACUGAACAUCGUGCGCAGAACCCAAGGAGUUUCGGAAAACUUCUGGAAGUCUGGUCAUGUUCGUUCAUGCUUUGGUGGAACUCCCAAAAUUGAUGUUUGACAAAUUUAUGGCACAAGGAACAAGUUGUACAAGGAUGAUAAAAUCCAAGCUGCGUUGGUCAACCACUCGAAAUUCAGAAAAAAAUUUUUAUUCAAGUGAUUGCGAUUUUUGUAGUGA